GUCGUAACAAGGUUUCCGUAGGUGAACCUGCGGAAGGAUCAUUACCAAAACUAGCUUUGGCUCUGCCACUGCCAGUACCCUUGUCUAUGCGUACCGUAUGUUGUUCCCUCGGUGGAGUCUCUCUGCCGCUGGGCAUCUUAAUAAACUCUUAUUGCCGUUAGAAGCAGUACACUUGUCUGAUUAUGGACUUUUAAAGACUAUCACAACUUUCAACAACGGAUCUCUUGGUUCUGGCAUCGAUGAAGAACGCAGCGAAAUGCGAUAAGUAGUGUGAAUUGCAGAAUUCAGUGAAUCAUCGAAUUUUUGAACGCACAUUGCGCCCCUUGGUAUUCCUUGGGGCAUGCCUGUUCGAGCGUCAUUUAACACUCUCAAGCUGUGCUUGGUGUUGGGCGUCUGUCCCCCGGUAGCGGGGACUCGCCUCAAAGUCAUUGGCGGCGUGUUUAUGCCUGCUUCCCGCGCAGCACUUUGCGCACUUUGGGAAGACUUGGUGGCAUAGCUCGCACUCCAGUAAGCUCUUUUUACUGUAGUUUGACCUCGAAUCAGGUAGGGAUACCCGCUGAACUUAAGCAUAUCAAUA
Molecule: ribosomal RNA, 577 nt
Filed under: Falciformispora tompkinsii
Lineage: Eukaryota; Fungi; Ascomycota; Dothideomycetes; Pleosporales; Trematosphaeriaceae
Description: eukaryotic LSU rRNA
Rfam family: 5.8S ribosomal RNA (bases 205-358)
Source: RNAcentral